Non-coding RNA from Podospora didyma, 109 nucleotides. Lineage: Eukaryota; Fungi; Ascomycota; Sordariomycetes; Sordariales; Podosporaceae. The record is from the annotation of a GenBank genome assembly.
GCUAUGUUAGUACAGUGGUGAGUAUCGGGCAAGUCGAAGUAAUGGUAAAAGCCACUACUAGACACCGUAAUGAGUGCGCGAGGCAUGGGUUCGAUUCCCAUACAUGGCC